This is a long non-coding RNA of Dreissena polymorpha, 3581 nucleotides long. RefSeq lists it as uncharacterized. NCBI's taxonomy places the organism in Eukaryota, Metazoa, Mollusca, Bivalvia, Myida, Dreissenidae. The transcript is spliced from 3 exons. The record is from RefSeq and is a predicted model, not a curated record.
UCCCCUGAAAUGAAUAACGCCGUGACGUCACCAUCGAGGCGCAAAAAGUACUGAGUGCGCUGUUUUUCGUUAACAUCGAUUGUCUCGUGGUGUUCAGUUUAAAUUUUAAAUUUGUACAGUCUGUGGUGUUGUUAUACACAAUUAUAAUGGACAAAGAACAACCUGGGUGAUGAAUGUCUCCCUCAUGUCGAGGUUCAACCUCAGCGGACAGACCAGGCCGAAUUUAGAACCAAAAAUUGGAGUAAAGCACACUGCCGUGUAUACUGUCAUAAAAGCUAGUGUUAGCCAAAGUAUUAGCCACACUGAAAAAGACUUAGAGGAUGUCAUCUCAAAAAUCUUGAAGUAUGCGCCUGAUAGAAAAGGCGGAGUGGGCCGAAGGCUGGAAAAAACAUCACCUUAAUGUGAAGUCAACAGACUCUGGACCAUAUUAAACAGAUAAAAUAGCAAUAUGUGCUAGGUAAAAGAAUUUAUCAGAACAUUUCAGAAUUGUGAUGCUUCUAUUUUGAUCGGUCUGUCACUCUGUCUAUGAACGCUACUCAUUAGUUUGCUCUUUUGAGACAGUAUUUUAUCAAGAAUCUCAUGAAAUGUUGUAAUAGUAAAAGAUCAAAAUAAUAAUUUGAUUUAUUCAACUAUGUUAAUCUUCUGUUAAUUGUCAAUUUGUUUAUUGACAACAGAUACUUUGUUUAAUAUUAAAAACAUUUCAACGCGUUAUAGAAGCUGUAAGGAAUUUAUAAUAUUUGGAUAAUUCAUGCACACAUUGUUGGAAAAAACAAUUUAAAUAAAGUGAAAUUUAGAUGGUUAUCUUAAUUUGAAUGGAGAUAGUUCGUUAAUAAACAUUAUUAUGUAUAAUAUUGUUAAACGAUUAGAAAAGGACUCUCGUUAUUAGUAUGAUAUUGUUAACGAUUAGAAAAGGACUCUCGUUAUUAAACAUUAUUAUGUAUAAUAUUGUUAAACGAUUAGAAAAGGACUCUCGUUAUUAAACAUUAUUAUGUAUAAUAUUGUUAAACGAUUAGAAAAGGACUCUCGUUAUUAAACAUUAUUAUGUAUAAUAUUAAUUACUCUACAAGUAAUUUUGUUUCCAAAUGAUUGUUUUCAUGAUUAAUGAUCCUAGUUAGGGUUGUAGAUUGUUCUUGUUGGAUUAUAUACUGACAUGCUCAUCAUUUGUGUUUACAUUUGCAUUUUAGCAUUAAAAGUUCAUUAUGCUUUAUAUAUUUGUAUGUAGACAUAUUGAUGACCAGCUUUUCAUCUAAUGUAAUAAGUAAGUAACCUAACAAAGAUAUCUGUGUAUACUAUGAAUAGGUGUAUUUUGUCAUUUUUAUAUAGAUCAACAGCAAAGCAUAUAUUUUAAUGAUAUACAUCUUUUACAUGUUAAGCAAUAGAGUAAAUGAAUUGCUAUGGAUGAAUGCGCAUUAUACUUAUAGAUAAUACAGACCUGCAUAAUAUCGGAUUAUGAACAUAAAAAUAUACGUUUAGCAAUCGAAAUACCUUGUUUAAUUUCAUGAUUUUCAGUUAAUCAAAUGUUUAUUUAUGAACAUAAAAAUAUACGUUUAGCAAAAGAAAUACCUUGUUUAAUUUCAUGCUUUUCAGUUAAUAAAAUUAGGCAAUAACUAUCUCGUGGAAAUUAGUGAAUAACAUUUCAAGGGAGAAUAUUGUGACAUGAUAUAUAGGAGUUGUCUCUCUUGUUUGAGUAUUAUUGUACCUCUAAACAAGUAAAUUCAUACAUUAAUUCAAAUUAAUCCACACUAUAAACCCAUAUUUUGGUCAUAUAUGGAAUAAUGAAAUAUUGUUUGCGUAAUUGUUUAUUUUUAUGUAUUAUACCGAAGCCAUCUGUAAUGACAUUUAUUAAAAUAUUAAUAUUAAUAUUUGAAUGGCCAUACAGUGCUAAAAGUUUGGUAUUCUGACUAUUUUAAGUGCAUGUUCUGCACAAAAUAUCAGAUUGUGUAUUAAAACACUGUUGUAAUACUUCUUAAUUAUUUUAUAUUUGACAAGCAUUGACUUGUUUUUGCUUGUAACAGUUGUCCAGUGUUGAACUAUAGCUGUUAAUAAUAAUAACAAUUAUUGUGACAAUUUUCCAGUUUUGAAUUAUUGCUUUCAGUUGAUUGUUUACCAGUUAUGUAACAGCUGUUUUCAUGUUAACCGCUCCACAUUACGUGUUGGUGAAGCGCAUUAACGGCCCCCAGUUUCCAUAAAACUCCAAAUUCAGCUAAUGUCUUAAGACUGGAUGUGGUUGUUUAUUUUCAACUUUGUUAUGCAUGAAACAUGUCAGUUUUGUUGUUACUCUUGAACAGAAGUUUUUAUAGGACCAAAUUGUGUCAUAUUUCAAAUUAAUGAUAUUAUUAUGCCCCCCUUCGAAGAAGAGGGGGUAUAUUGUUUUGCACAUGUUGGUCGGUCGGUCCGUCCACCAGAUGGUUUCCGGAUGAUAACUCAAGAACGCUUAGGCCUAGGAUCAUGAAACUUCAUAGGUACAUUGAUCAUGACUGGCAGAUGACCCCUAUUGAUUUUCAGGUCACUAGGUCAAAGGUCAAGGUCACAGUGACUCGAAAUAGUAAAAUGGUUUCCUGAUGAUAACUCAAAAACACUUAGGCCUAGGAUCAUGAAACUUCAUAGGUACAUUGAUCAUGACUGGCAGAUGACCCCUAUUGAUUUUAAAGUCAAAGGUCAAUGUCACAGUGACUCGAAAUAGUAAAAUGGUUUCCGGAUGAUUACUCAAGAAGCUUACGCCUAGGAUCAUGAAACUUCAUAAGUACAUUGAUCAUGACUGGCAGAUGACCCCUAUUGAGUUUCAGGUCACUAGGUCAAAGGUCAAGGUCACAGUGACUCAAAAUAGUAAAAUGGUGUCCUGAUGAUAACUCAAGAAUGCUUACGCCUAGGAUCAUGAAACUUCAUAGGUACAUUGAUCAUGACUGGCAAAUGAACCCUAUUGAUUUUCAGGUCACUAAGUCAAAGGUCAAGGUCACAGUGACUUGAAACAGUAAAAUGGUUUCCUGAUGAUAACUCAAGAAUAAUUAGGCCUAGCUAGGAUCAUGAAACUUCAUAGGUACAUUGAUCAUGACUGGCAGAUGACCCCUUUUCAUUUUCAUGUCACUAGGUCAAAGGUCAAGGUCAAAUUGUCAGAUUUUAAAAUUACUCGGUACAUUUGUUCACAAUCAUUGGACGGUGUGUCAUGCGAAAAAAUUAAGUCGAUAUCUCCAAGGUAAAGGUCACACUUGGAGUUCAAGUCAAAAAUGGCCAUUAAUGAGCUUGUCUGGGCCAUAACUUUGUCAUUCAUUGUGAGAUUUUAAAAUGACUGUACAUUAAUUUUGUUCACAGUCAUUGGACGGCGUGUAAUGCGAAAGAGUUCAAAGGUCAAAAUGGCCAUAAAUUAUAUUGGCAUAAUAAUUAUUAAAAAUCGCCAUAAAUUAGCUUCUCUUGUUUUUUGAAGACAGCAUGCAAAAUAUUCUGUGUUAAUGCAGCAUGUGGGAGUAUAUGUCACGUCUGUGACAAAGCUCUAGUUGUAAAUAUACUUUUUUGAAAACCUGGUUUUGUGACAAUUUUGUCCCUUGUUAUGCUAUUAAAGGCAAAUAAAAUUGCAUGUAAAUAUG